AGACUCAACCUAAAUAUUUGUAGAAAAUUGCCAUUUUUUAUUUUUAUUCAUCCUUAUAAAAUCUAAGUUUUCUCAUACAGACAUAGACGGAAAGGUCUCACCAGGUAACAACAUCUAAUGGAGAGGAAGUAAUCUCCUUACAUAAU
Non-coding RNA from Arachis ipaensis, 146 nucleotides. NCBI's taxonomy places the organism in Eukaryota, Viridiplantae, Streptophyta, Magnoliopsida, Fabales, Fabaceae. The record is from RefSeq and is a predicted model, not a curated record.